GAAAUGCGAUAAGUAAUGUGAAUUGCAGAAUUCAGUGAAUCAUCGAAUCUUUGAACGCACAUUGCGCCCGCCAGUAUUCUGGCGGGCAUGCCUGUUCGAGCGUCAUUUCAACCAUCAAGCCCCCGGCUUGUGUUGGGGACCUGCGGCUGCCCGCAGGCCCUGAAAAACAGUGGCGGGCUCGCUGUCACACCGAGCGUAGUAGCAUACAUUCUCGCUCAGGGCGUGCUGCGGGUUCCGGCCGUUAAACGACCUUCAUAACCCAAGGUUGACCACGGAUCAGGUAGGAAGACCCGCUGAACUUAAGC
RNAcentral lists this unclassified non-coding RNA (305 nucleotides) under plant metagenome. Its description in RNAcentral is "partial contains 5.8S ribosomal RNA, internal transcribed spacer 2, and large subunit ribosomal RNA". The stretch from base 1 to 105 matches the Rfam family "5.8S ribosomal RNA", at positions 50 to 154 of the family's 154-position model. The record is from RNAcentral.